CCUACGGGGGGCAGCAGUAGGGAAUCUUCCACAAUGGACGAAAGUCUGAUGGAGCAACGCCGCGUGAGUGAAGAAGGGUUUCGGCUCGUAAAGGUCUGUUGGUAGUGAAGAAAGAUAGAGGUAGUAACUGGCCUUUAUUUGACGGUAAUUACUUAGAAAGUCACGGCUAACUACGUGCCAGCAGCCGCGGUAAUACGUAGGUGGCAAGCGUUGUCCGGAUUUAUUGGGCGUAAAGCGAGUGCAGGCGGGUCCAUAAGUCUGUUGUGAAAGCCUUCGGCUCAAACGGAGAAUUUGAUCCAAAACUG
RNAcentral lists this ribosomal RNA (305 nucleotides) under uncultured bacterium. RNAcentral's name for it is "bacterial SSU rRNA". It matches the Rfam family "Bacterial small subunit ribosomal RNA", at positions 338 to 635 of the family's 1533-position model. The record is from RNAcentral.